This 72-nucleotide transfer RNA is filed under the name Erinaceus europaeus (western European hedgehog). It matches the Rfam family "tRNA". Rfam says of the family: Transfer RNA (tRNA) molecules are approximately 80 nucleotides in length. Their secondary structure includes four short double-helical elements and three loops (D, anti-codon, and T loops). Lineage: Eukaryota; Metazoa; Chordata; Mammalia; Eulipotyphla; Erinaceidae. The record is from Rfam by way of RNAcentral.
AGCGAGAUAGCUCAGUGGUAGAGCACAGGACCUACAUGCUUGAGACCCUGAAUUCAGUUUCCAGUAUGGCUU